CAGAUUGUCGGUGAAGUGCUCAACAGCUGACAGAGGAGAAAUUCAUUGUCAAGGCAACCAAUGGACCUCGCUAUGUUGUUGGCUGCCGCAGACAACUGGAUAAAUCGCAGUUCAACCAGG
Long non-coding RNA from Salvelinus sp. IW2-2015, 120 nucleotides. RefSeq lists it as uncharacterized. Lineage: Eukaryota; Metazoa; Chordata; Actinopteri; Salmoniformes; Salmonidae. The record is from RefSeq and is a predicted model, not a curated record.